Peromyscus eremicus (cactus mouse) is the source of this 1547-nucleotide long non-coding RNA. RefSeq lists it as uncharacterized. The record is from RefSeq and is a predicted model, not a curated record. NCBI's taxonomy places the organism in Eukaryota, Metazoa, Chordata, Mammalia, Rodentia, Cricetidae. The transcript is spliced from 2 exons.
ACCUGACAGUCAUAUUAGUAAACACAGGCAGCUCCAUAGGUCAUGAAUCACUCUGGCUCCAUUGAUGAGUUUAUCAACACGUCAGUAUAACUCUGUCAAGCCUGCCCUGUUCUAUAUAAACAGGUGCACAGUGGCUUAUGGGUGAAACUCAUCCUUGUCAGCAGACAUAGCAGCCUCAAGACGAGCUAUGAGCAGAAAUAGUCAGCAAGUCUCCAGUUUGUAGCAGAAGUUACGUCCUCUGAAUUUAAAUGCACACACCCAGCCAACAAUGAAGGCCACACUUUUUUUCCCCAAGACCAGGUUCUUCUAAAAGAGCCAGAGAACAUCAAGAAGAUAUUCUCUGCAGAAUGUGCAGAAAUGAGAAAGUAGCAUUCCCAGUGGGUAAUGACUGUGUGGCCACUGACAGUCUGUUUUCUGGUCUAUAAAACUGAGGUUCCCCUCUGCAUCUAUUGAUCCCUUCUGCCUCCUCAGGGGAGAAGGUUCCAGAGAUUAAGAACUCUGCCACUGAGUAUUCUUUACGACUUAGCCAGUUCUGUCUCCCUGGCAACCUGACACAUUGUCGUUGCUACACAAGUCAUGGAUGACCCCUAUUGUCAUGUACUGUCUUAGGAAAUGCCCCAGAAGCCUCACAAACGGUUCAGGCCCCUGUAAUGGGCUCCCUUUCUCAUGCAGUGUCUUCUUCAUUUGUCCCUUGUCACUUGAACUCACAGUGGGAAAAUAUGGGAGUCUGCGAGGCACCAGCUUCCCAGGGAGAGACUUCCAUGUACGGAGUCCAGUCUGAGGGCUAAAAACUGCCGAAACCCAAGACAGACCCGAUCUGAAGAAAGAGCAGAAAGGGAUCAGUACCGGAAAGCCCAGUGUGAGAGCAAAAGAGAUGCUGUGGAGUAGAAAAUGAUUCCAAUUGCACCAGAGAUGACAGCACAUUUCUUGCCAUUUUACCGUGUCCCAGGCAAUGUCUUAAGUGUUUCUCAUUCCCAUUUCAGUCCUCAGAAACAUGCCAAACAAAGGCUGUUAUUAUGCCCAGUUGAGAGACGAGGAAACUCUAACCACAGACACACAGCCAGUAAGUGGAAGAACAGAAAUGCUCCAACUCAGACGCCAGACCUCAGACCUUAUAGCCCACCCCUGUCAUCUUCCAGAUGAGACCAGAAAAGAGAAGCCAGAGCUGGAACUGGCCAGGAGUAAGGGGCAGAGUGUGACAUCUGCCCUAUUUGAGUUGGAAGCCUAUACUCCUGACUUUCCCUAACUUCAUCCUCAUCAAGCUAAAGUCAUCUAAGAAGAGGGAAAUUUUUUCAGAAAAAAAAAAGUUCCAUUAGAUUGUCUCAGAGGCAAGUCUGUGGUGAGGCGUUUUCUUGAUGAACGACCAAUGUGGAAGAGACAGCAUCCGUGGACAGUAAUUAAAAGCAGGCUGAGCAAGCCAUUAGGAGCCAGCCAGUAAGUAUCAUUCCCCCAUGAUCUCUGCUUUUGUUUCUGUUUCCAGAUUCCUGCCCUGACUUCCCUUCAUGAUGUACCACAACUGUAAUUUGAAAUAAACCCUUUCCUCCCAA